RNAcentral lists this ribosomal RNA (253 nucleotides) under uncultured bacterium. RNAcentral's name for it is "partial 16S ribosomal RNA". It matches the Rfam family "Bacterial small subunit ribosomal RNA", at positions 524 to 776 of the family's 1533-position model. The record is from RNAcentral.
UACGUAGGAGACGAGCGUUGUCCGGAAUUACUGGGCGUAAAGCGCGUGUAGGCGGAUGAGCAAGUCUGCUGUGAAAGCUCCUGGCUUAACCGGGAGUGGUCGGUGGAAACUGCUCGUCUGGAGGACGGUAGAGGUAGGUAGAAUUCCCGGUGUAGUGGUGAAAUUCGUAGAUAUGGGGAGGAACACCGGUGGCGAAGGCGGCCAUCUGGACGGAUACUGACGCUGAGACGCGAAAGCGUGGGGAGCAAACAGG